This 440-nucleotide ribosomal RNA is filed under the name uncultured bacterium. Its description in RNAcentral is "partial 16S ribosomal RNA". It matches the Rfam family "Bacterial small subunit ribosomal RNA", at positions 338 to 795 of the family's 1533-position model. The record is from RNAcentral.
CCUACGGGAGGCAGCAGUGGGGAAUAUUGCACAAUGGGGGAAACCCUGAUGCAGCGACGCCGCGUGAGUGAAGAAGUAUCUCGGUACGUAAAGCUCUAUCAGCAGGGAAGAAAAUGUCGGUACCUGACUAAGAAGCCCCGGCUAACUACGUGCCAGCAGCCGCGGUAAUACGGAGGGGGCAAGCGUUAUCCGGAUUUACUGGGUGUAAAGGGAGCGUAGACGGCAGGACAAGUCUGGAGUGAAAACCCGGGGCUUAACCCCGGAACUGCGUUGGAAACUGUGCGGCUGGAGUGCAGGAGGGGUAAGCGGAAUUCCUAGUGUAGCGGUGAAAUGCGUAGAUAUUAGGAGGAACAUCGGUGGCGAAGGCGGCUUACUGGACUGUAACUGACGUUGAGGCUCGAAAGCGUGGGGAGCAAACAGGAUUAGAUACCCGGGUAGUC